RNAcentral lists this ribosomal RNA (301 nucleotides) under uncultured bacterium. RNAcentral's name for it is "partial 16S ribosomal RNA". It matches the Rfam family "Bacterial small subunit ribosomal RNA", at positions 509 to 807 of the family's 1533-position model. The record is from RNAcentral.
CAGCAGCCACGGUAAUACCUAGGUGGCAAGCGUCGUCCGGAAUUAUUGGGCGUAAAGGGCUCGCGGGCGGUUUCUUAAGUCUGAUGUGAAAGCCCCCGGCUCAACCGGGGAGGGUCAUUGGAAACUGGGAAACUUGAGUGCAGAAGAGGAGAGUGGAAUUCCACGUGUAGCGGUGAAAUGCGUGGAGAUGUGGAGGAACACCAGUGGCGAAGGCGACUCUCUGGUCUGUAACUGACGCUGAGGAGCGAAAGCGUGGGGAGCGAACAGGAUUAGAUACCCGCGUAGUCCCUGUCUCUUAUAC